Molecule: long non-coding RNA, 1065 nt
Organism: Equus quagga
Lineage: Eukaryota; Metazoa; Chordata; Mammalia; Perissodactyla; Equidae
Exons: 4
Source: RefSeq, a predicted model, not a curated record
UGUAACGCUUCUGCCAACGGGGAGGACGUUCCAUCUGUCUGGUCAGAGAAAGGACUUGGGCAGAGAAGAGGGUCCCUCCACAGGCCAAUUCAGGUUGUCUGAUAAAUCUCCAGAGUCUGAUGGACCCAGGAAGUGAUCCUAAGAGGUUCAGGGCUGCACGACUGUCCUUCCCACCUCACAGAUGAGGAAACCGAGGCGCCGGAAGGUUAAUGACUUAUCCGAGGCCACUUGUCACAGCGCAAGUCCGUGGAGGAACUGGGGUGGAAGCCAGCAUGAUGUGUAGAGACCACAGUCAGACGCAACGCUGAGCCCAUUUCAAACGCCCUCUCAGAAACGUUGUCAGAGGGUGAUUCUCCCAGUAAAGCCAACAGGGAAGAAACGGGGACAGGGAAAAGCUCAAGGCACCUGAGUGCAAACCCCUGCUUCUCCUCAGACAAGCUGUGUGACUUCAGGCGAAUCAGCGGUGUUGGCGAGACCUCCGUUUCUUUCCCUCCAAAGCAGGAGGAAAGACUUCCCCAUAAGGCUGUAACAAGACAGUAGUGAGUGGCACUCUGAAGCGUCUCCCCACGUGCCUGAUGUGCUCACAGGAGCUUUUCAACAUGUCGAGCAGAGCCAGAGCCUUCCCAAGAUGGCAGCCCUCCCCAAGGAGGGCACAGAAAUCACAAUCACCAGUCGCUCAUGCAACACAGGUUGGUCGGGCACCUACUGGGCGCCAGGCAUGGGGUGGUACAGAGGACGUCAGACUGUAUUCUGUACCCCUCUGAAUUCUAUUGCGUAACAGCUGCUUCACCUUGUUGUUAGAGGAAUGCCUGGAAAUAGGAUUAGCGUUGUGUUUGUUAUCCUGGCCACAGCUUUUGCCUCGACAGGUCACCUGUGCAAGGGAUUCUGUCAUAUACCAUGCGUUCUACUCCCCCUACUGCAGUCAUUUGUCAACUAUCUUUAUGACUUUUGCCAUAAGUGUAUACCACCUGUGUUUUAUUGGCGUUAUAUAAGUUUUUUAAAUGAUUCACUUUCUUCACUUUCCAUUAAAAAAACCCUUAUAUUGCUAUAAUCCCUUGCCAGGAA